CUGGGAUAAGCCCGGGAAACUGGGUCUAAUACCGGAUAUCACUUCCUUACCGCAUGGGGGGUGGUGGAAAGGUCUUUUCGGUCGGGGAUGGACUCGCGGCCUAUCAGCUUGUUGGUGGGGUAAUGGCUCACCAAGGCGACGACGGGUAGCCGGCCUGAGAGGGUGACCGGCCACACUGGAGCUGAGACACGGCCCAGACUCCUACGGGUGGCAGCAGUGGGGAAUAUUGCACAAUGGGCGCAAGUAUGCUGCAGCGACGCCGCUGCAGGGAUGACGGCUUCGGGGUGGUAAACCUCUUUCAGUAGGGAAGAAGCGAAAGUGACGGUACCUGCAGAAGAAGCGGCGGCUAACUACGUGCCAGCAGCCGCGGUAAUACGUAGGGCGCAAGCGUUAUCCGUAGUCGUUCUGCGUGAGUCGCUCGUACGCAGUGUGUAGCGUGUGCCGUGAAAGUCCGGGGCUCAACCCCGGAUCUGCGGUGGGUACGGGCAGACUUGAGUGCAGUAGGGGAGACUGGAAUUCCUGGUGUAGCGGUGAAAUGCGCAGAUAUCAGGAGGAACACCGAUGGCGAAGGCAGGUCUCUGGGCUGUAACUGACGCUGAGGAGCGAAAGCAUGGGGAGCGAACAGGAUUAGAUACCCUGCAUCUCCAUGCCGUAAACGUUGGGCACUAGAUGUGGGGGACAUUCCACGUUUUCCGCGUCGUAGCUAACGCAUUAAGUGCCCCGCCUGGGGAGUACGGCCGCAAGGCUAAAACUCAAAGGAAUUGACGGGGGCCCGCACAAGCGGCGGAGCAUGCGGAUUAAUUCGAUGCAACGCGAAGAACCUUACCAAGGCUUGACAUGGGCCGGACCGGGCUGGAAACAGUCCUUCCUUUGGGGCCGGUUCACAGGUGGUGCAUGGUUGUCGUCAGCUCGUGUUGUGAAAUGU
This 925-nucleotide ribosomal RNA is filed under the name Arthrobacter sp. RNAcentral's name for it is "bacterial SSU rRNA". It matches the Rfam family "Bacterial small subunit ribosomal RNA", at positions 138 to 1075 of the family's 1533-position model. Lineage: Bacteria; Bacillati; Actinomycetota; Actinomycetes; Micrococcales; Micrococcaceae. The record is from RNAcentral.